Pomacea canaliculata is the source of this 521-nucleotide long non-coding RNA. RefSeq lists it as uncharacterized. The record is from RefSeq and is a predicted model, not a curated record. Lineage: Eukaryota; Metazoa; Mollusca; Gastropoda; Architaenioglossa; Ampullariidae. The transcript is spliced from 4 exons.
CAAACAUGAAAACAGAAUACUUACAGAGUGUAUUCAGAUGUGAAUUCUACACAUGGCUAAUCUACUACAACGUCUUUAAAAUUUAUGAAAUCGUUAAAUUUAUUAUCAACAUAUAUAGCUAUUUAGCUUUAGCUACCAAGAUAAUGUGGCUACAACAAACACUCGAGACACUGAAACAACGUGCGACCAACCGCUUCAACCACUGGCCUACAAUGGUUGGUCGUCGACUUACGAUCACGUUUGGUUACGACAAACCGGUGGUAAGCCGGCCAUGGUAAAUUGCCGUUCCCAAUCUCCAUACCUGAAAGGUCUUUCUUUUGUGUCCAUCCCCUGCGACGUCCUUGGGGUGUGGAGGUAGGGGUAGGCAGCCACCCCCUACUUUCUUUUCGCCGCAGUCCAAGAGACAUGGAUUGAGGAAUGAUUCGAAGGGUGAUGACAUCUAAUGAUGAGUGGAAUUACAACAAUGAGCUUGUCAAGUUAAAAUUAUGAAUUGAUUCCACCACUCAUGGAUUGAUUUUUGG